CCAAACCCAGGACAACAGUGGAGCAUUGACAGCAGAGGCCAGUGAACAUCAGGGUAUUUAUCUUGUAGACAGAUCAUGCCAGAGAGAAGAAAACUAAAUACUGAAGAGCUCUCCCAUCACAGUGUGAGAUCAAUCAGGGAGGGACAAGGCCCUAGUCUCCAGGAGCAUGAGAAUGAAAAAUGAACUGGCAAGAUUUUAGCUCACACAGAAGACUAUAUGUUACUGUAAGCCUGGAGAGAUUUGGCAGUCAAGUCUCAGGGCAGGUCACUAGGGCUCAUUUUGCUCCACAAGCUGUGAAACUCCUCAGAACUGUGCCAGGCCAUAGUGGGGUGUUGCCUGUUGUGGGUUCUGGCCAGGCAGAGCUGACUAAUGUUUUACAGCAACUGGGAGAACCAGGACAUCACCCCCUACGUUGGGGCUCUUCUGGUGAGAGUUGGGCCUCUGACACUAAAGCCACUCCAUCGUUAGUCACCAUAGAGAUACUGCAGCACAGCCAUGACAAACAUCUGAACUCAGGGAUCCAAGGAAGUGCCUUUGUAAGUACAACAGAUAGUGUAUGGCCAAAGAAAAAUCCCUGGCCACCAAUAGAGACCCAUGGAAAAGAAAGGGCAAUAGCUUUUCCAUACAGGGUGAAAAUGCGAGAAAAAAACCUUCAAAGCCUUCCACUACAAAGCCACAAGGACUUGUUGAAGGACAUAGUCACAGGGGAUGGCAACAUGUCACUAAGCAGGGGAUCAAGAGCAGCAUCUCAAUACCCUGAACUUGAUUUUCUUGAAGAACAUGUCCUGAGGGGAAGAAACAUCAAGCCCAAGAAAAAGGAAUUGCUUCAGGCAACAUUGCCAAUUUGCAGACUAGAGAGGAGACAUGAAGAAAUACAGACAUCAAAGCAGGAGAAGAUGAAAAGCAAGAGAGUCAACUCAAGGGAGGCCUGGAUUCAGUUAUUUCCUAAAAAGCCAUUCUUGGGGCAAAAGCCAAAGGACCUGGGUCCAUUGCUUAUGGAAGGAGCAAGUCUGCAGCACAAGGAAAAGAGCCAGGCAUUGGAGCUGUCAUCCAAAGACCAUCGUUUGAAGUCAAGCCCCAGACUACACAGACAGAACCUACAGUCAGCUCAGGAUGACAGCGAUAAGGAGACCCCAGGAGAAGGAUCCAAAACGGAGAGAAGAAAGCUGAGGACAGAGUGGUGGGAUCCCACAGUCUGGGGUGACCCAGUCAAACUUGUUGAGCGUGAACAAUCUCUUCGAAAGAUCUGCUCUGAAGUCCACAGUGACCAGAGGAAGUUGAGCUUUCCCAUGGGCAGAUCAAGUUAUAAAGACAUAAUUCCCACAGGCAGAUCAAGCUAUUAAAACCCUGUUUUUCUGCUUCAAGAACAUUAAAGGUCUCCAUGAUGGCCCUGAGGCUGUGGUUUCUGGCCAGGGCAAUAGCCUGCUCAAAUCCAAAGGCCUCCCAGACAACCCCUACAGGGCUCCCUAGAUCGCUCCUCUUCUGGCUGGCCCUCCUGAGACUAUGGCCAUCAUCCCUCUAGGGAAUUUCCUGGGACAUCACACUGGUCUUCAGCUCUCAACGUAGCUCACACCUGUUCUUGCUUCUCUCAUUCCUUCUGAGCCCUCUAUCAAAUUCCCACUGUGGCCUGUGGUGGAUUCUGCAGUCUUGCGCGCACCGGACUCGACCAGCAAGAACGACGCUGCAACAGGAUCCUUCUGCACACGUUUAUUGGGAGAGCUUGAUUGCAGAGGCGAAAAGACCUCGAGCCCAGAACUGGUGCUGCUUUUAUAGGCCUAGGAGAGGCGUGUCUCAUACCCGGAUUGGUUAUGCACUAAGCCUCAUUUGCAUGUUCCUCAUCUGAUUGGCUACUCUCUCUCAGUACCUCACAGAUCCUCAUUAUCAUACCUCAUUUGCAUGUCUCACAUCCGAUUGGUUACUCUCUUAGUACCUUACAGAACCUCAUUCUCAUAUCUCAUUUGCAUGUCUCACAUCUGAUUGGUUAUACUCUCAGUACCUUACAGAACCUCAUUAUCAUGCCUGGGCCAGGCAGUGUUUUUGCAAAAAACUUUACUGCAUAUGUACACAUUGGUUGUUUGUCCAAUCUUAUGCGUGGUGGCCAGCAGUAGUCAGUGCCACUCUGCAACGGCACAUGUGGCUUCCCACAUCUCCCCCUGUUUGUUUUAAUAAAAAGAGGCUGGACUAGGCCUGUGCAAUUAUGCCCAUC
RNAcentral lists this long non-coding RNA (2206 nucleotides) under Mus musculus (house mouse). RNAcentral describes it as "Riken cDNA 4933427I04 gene (4933427I04Rik)". The record is from RNAcentral. Lineage: Eukaryota; Metazoa; Chordata; Mammalia; Rodentia; Muridae.